CGGAAAGACCCCGUGGAGCUUUACUGUAGCCUGAUAUUGAAAUUCGGCACAGCUUGUACAGGAUAGGUAGGAGCCUUUGAAACGUGAGCGCUAGCUUACGUGGAGGCGCUGGUGGGAUACUACCCUAGCUGUGUUGGCUUUCUAACCCGCACCACUUAUCGUGGUGGGAGACAGUGUCAGGCGGGCAGUUUGACUGGGGCGGUCGCCUCCUAAAAGGUAACGGAGGCGCUCAAAGGUUCCCUCAGAAUGGUUGGAAAUCAUUCAUAGAGUGUAAAGGCAUAAGGGAGCUUGACUGCGAGACCUACAAGUCGAGCAGGGUCGAAAGACGGACUUAGUGAUCCGGUGGUUCCGCAUGGAAGGGCCAUCGCUCAACGGAUAAAAGCUACCCCGGGGAUAACAGGCUUAUCUCCCCCAAGAGUUCACAUCGACGGGGAGGUUUGGCACCUCGAUGUCGGCUCAUCGCAUCCUGGGGCUGUAGUCG
RNAcentral lists this ribosomal RNA (481 nucleotides) under Escherichia coli. Its description in RNAcentral is "partial 23S ribosomal RNA". It matches the Rfam family "Bacterial large subunit ribosomal RNA", at positions 2081 to 2561 of the family's 2925-position model. Lineage: Bacteria; Pseudomonadati; Pseudomonadota; Gammaproteobacteria; Enterobacterales; Enterobacteriaceae. The record is from RNAcentral.